UACGUAGGUGGCAAGCGUUGUCCGGAUUUAUUGGGUUUAAAGGGUGCGUAGGCGGCUUUGUAAGUCAGUGGUGAAAUACGGUAGCUUAACUAUCGAGGUGCCAUUGAUACUGCAGAGCUUGAGUACAGGUGAGGUAGGCGGAAUUGACGGUGUAGCGGUGAAAUGCUUAGAUAUCGUCAAGAACACCUAUAGCGAAGGCAGCUUACUAGGCUGUAACUGACGCUGAGGCACGAAAGUGUGGGGAUCAAACAGG
RNAcentral lists this ribosomal RNA (253 nucleotides) under uncultured bacterium. Its description in RNAcentral is "partial 16S ribosomal RNA". It matches the Rfam family "Bacterial small subunit ribosomal RNA", at positions 524 to 776 of the family's 1533-position model. The record is from RNAcentral.